AUGGAGAUAAUGUUAAUUUGUGUUUCCACAGGUGUGAACAGUAUUGAUCUCAUCCAGACAGACUCAAUGGUUGUGCAGCCUGGACAGUCUCUGACCAUCAGCUGUCAGGUCUCUGGUUAUUCUUUGACUGAUAACAGCUAUGCAACAGGUUGGAUCAGACAGAGUGAAGGAAAACCAAUGGACUGGAUUUCCUGUCAGUGGGGUGGAGGUGGCUUUUACCAAAAUAAUGCUCUGAAGAACAAGUUCAGCUACAGCAGAGACACUUCUGCUCUAACAGUGACUCUAAAAGGACAGAAUGUGCAGCCUGAGGACACAGCUGUGUAUUACUGUGAGUUUGGAGUGAGAUCAAACUGGACCAGUCUCCCUCUGAGGUGAAAAGACCUGGAGAGACAGUGAAGAUGUCAUGUAUCAUAUCUGGUUAUAGCAUGACAAGCAAUGAUAUUCACUGGAUACGACAGAGACCAGGAGAAGCUCUGGAGUGGAUUGGGAUGAUGAACACAGGUAGAAACUCUGCUAGCUAUGGCAGCUCCUUUCAAAGCCGUUUCAUCAUGACUGAAGAUGUUCCCAGCAGCACUCAGUACCUCGAGGUCCAGAGCCUGACAGCAGCAGAUUCUGCUGUUUACUU
Perca flavescens (yellow perch) is the source of this 625-nucleotide non-coding RNA. Lineage: Eukaryota; Metazoa; Chordata; Actinopteri; Perciformes; Percidae. The record is from the annotation of a RefSeq genome assembly.